UACGGGGGGGGCAAGCGUUGUUCGGAAUUACUGGGCGUAAAGGGCUCGUAGGCGGCCAACUAAGUCGGACGUGAAAUCCCUCGGCUUAACCGGGGAACUGCGUCCGAUACUGGAUGGCUUGAGUUCGGGAGAGGUGAGUGGAACUGCGAGUGCAGAGGUGAAAUUCGUAGAUAUUCGCAAGAACACCAGUGGCGAAGGCGGCUCACUGGCCCGAUACUGACGCUGAGGCACGAAAGCGUGGGGAGCAAACAGG
Molecule: ribosomal RNA, 253 nt
Filed under: uncultured bacterium
Lineage: Bacteria
Description: partial 16S ribosomal RNA
Rfam family: Bacterial small subunit ribosomal RNA
Source: RNAcentral